Molecule: long non-coding RNA, 853 nt
Organism: Paramisgurnus dabryanus
Lineage: Eukaryota; Metazoa; Chordata; Actinopteri; Cypriniformes; Cobitidae
Source: RefSeq, a predicted model, not a curated record
UACCGUUUCUCAUAAAUACAGUUGAAUACUGUAAAUAAACAUUAAUAUGACAAACAAAAUAAUAACAGCAAGCUCCUGUUCAGUCUUACGGGAUAAUACAGUAUUUUUUGGUUUGGUCAGGCAUGUCAGACAUGUGACGAGCUCAUCUGCAACCAUGAGUAAAACUGAUUUAACUACACUGUUUUUCUGCAUUUUAUUAUACGAGAAGGAAGCAGAAUUAAAGACUGUCUAUCCAUUUUCACUCCGAUUGUGACCCUACCAGCACUGAGACGGACGACGAAUUCACUUGUUUUUUACUCCUCGCCUGUAUAUCAAGUUGCUGGUGAUGAAGUAACAUUUGGAGGUUGGAUGAUCAGCAGUGAAAACAUCAUCAUCUGUGAAGGCAAGAUGAAGCUGCGAGGACACUGGAGUUUGUUCAAAGAUGCUUAAUUGGUGUGAACCCUAAGAGGGGAACAAAAGCCAGGCAGGUGAAGGUGUCCAAGAAGACAGGAAAGCUUGUCCAGAAAAACGCAGCAACUGUUAAUCCCCAUGUGACCACCCUCAUCAAAAACUUCAUGGACUUUGAGUGGCUUUCACAUUGUAUUCUGCAGUGUUGUGAUAUUUAUGUGACAUCACAGCAUUAUGUUUUAUUCAGCCCAGUCUCAUUAGUGAGGCAGAAACUGACAUUUAAGAAUGCACUGAAUUUUGUUAUAUUUAAUAAAAACAGUGUUUUAUCAUCAUCCUUUGUUUGAGAAUUUUUUUGCAAGCAAUUUUAAGUGUUUAUUUUAAAAUUACAUUUUAACAAUGCUAGAAAAAUCACAUUCUACAGUAUAAAUAACAGCAGGAACCCUAAAAUAACAGUAUAAUGCAUCCA